GAUAAGAUCCGCAGCCCCCCGAACUGUAGACCCUCCUCCCCCGACUACGCCUCGAUAUCCUGUCCACGAAGACCACAAACAAGAUUGGUGACAAGGCAUGAAGUCAGAUAAAAGGUUACAUUCAUUGGUAACCUUUUGCAGUGUGGUCUCCAGGAGCUUAAUUUUUUGGUCGUACUCCUCAUUCUCCUGUGUUAUGGAUGCAGCGUUUGACUCCACACGUUUUAAGUGCGCCAACCUUUUCUGCUGCAAGUCCACCUCUUCUUCCAGCUUUUGAUGUUUAGAAGACAUUUCUUCGUUUACUGCUUUUUGGUCUCUGUAGAUUGAGUCAAAAUGUUGAUGAUUUUUGACCUUAACAAGGAGAUUCUUCACCUCUUUUUGAAGGGUUUCACAUUUUCUCCUAGCAAUGCCUUCCUCCUGCCUGUGAUGGUCAUACUUGUCAUUUUUAACCUUCAAACAUUCCCAUCCUGCAACCUUUAUUCCGCUCAUGUGAAUUUUCAUGCGCAUAGACUUAAGAACUUCGCAGAUCUCCCUCAGGCUCAUAUAUUCUGCGUUGAACUGUUCAGAUGACUCUGGUGGUCCCUGGUUGGAAACCGGCAGAUUCGUUGUAUAUCCUUCAGCCAUUUCUCCUGUUUGAUUUAAAAGUUGGGUAAAAUACUUCUGUGUACACGAUAAAACUUGAAAACAGCGUUGUAUUGUCAGUGGUCAAAGGUUAUGAACGGAUGCAGGACUGAGAACAGAAAGCGUGCAGCUCUCAAGAAGUCCAGUGAAGUUAUGAGGGACAAAAUGGAACCCAACAACAAAGCACAUCGGAACACAGUGACACGUUCUAUGAUGUCAAUGGCUUUGCCAAGCAACAAGGAACUACUUAUGUUGCAUCAUCGGUAAUGUGGACAUGAAAGAGAAAUCGUUUUUUUUUAAGCUUCAAAAGUCAUAUAUAUCUGGAUAUAUGAGUAAAAAAUACAAACACUUUCAAUAUGUGAAAAUAUAAACAAUAAAAGUUAAAUUAAGACUUGAGACAGUAAUAAUGACUAUGUUGUGGGACCGGGUACUGCAUAGAUUUAAGGCAACAAGCGACCAACUCCAAAGAAGCGAUAUAGAUUUAGCUACUGCUCUUGGCUUUCUGCGCUCAUGUAACAUAGUUAGAAUGGAUGGCUAAAACCCUUCUAAACUGGCUGAACUACGCCAUCUACUGCCACAAAGUGGUACACAAACGGACCGUAAAAAGGACGGAUUGUGGGUAAUCCUCAGUGUAAUGGAGGAUUAAAAGAAGGUCCACAAUUUCCUUUGUGUCCUUUAUAUUUUACAGGUAUGUUAUGUUAAGUUGAUUAACCUGUAUGUAUUUUUGGUUAUAUGUUUCAUUGUAUUGCUUGUGUAGUCAAGUUCUGUUCUUAUAAAACUAUACGAUCACUGUCUAAGUAUUUUGUGUGAGUGUAAUGGAGGAUUAAAAGAAGGUCCACAAUUUC
Non-coding RNA from Gasterosteus aculeatus aculeatus (three-spined stickleback), 1463 nucleotides. The record is from RefSeq and is a predicted model, not a curated record. NCBI's taxonomy places the organism in Eukaryota, Metazoa, Chordata, Actinopteri, Perciformes, Gasterosteidae.